UCCUUUAACAAAAGCAAAAACAAAACUAUGACCCCUCCCCACAAAAUGCUCUCUCAAUAGUCAAUUGAUCUAUUAGCUGAUACAACUCCUUAGUUGUGCUUCAUUCAGUCUUAGUGCAUCUCUUUAAAAUCAUUGCUGAUAUUCAGAAUGACAACACAAUCUCGUGUUAGUAAACAGAAACUAUAAUAUAAGGAUAUUUAAAUAAUGCAAACUUCUGAUCACUUUUGCUAAUGUAACAAUACGACAACUAGUGGAUGAAAAAUACAUGAAAUUUGAUCAAUAUAAAGGCAAGGCAUGGUGUCCAUGAUGUACUUGAACAUAAGAAAAUAUAACAUAUUUCAUAUAACAUUAAAAAAUAUAUAUAUCUGUCAAUUUUCUGGACCCCAUACAAAUGGUAUUUCCGUGACAUUGCAUGUUGAAGAUUUAGGAAUGAAUUUUGGUAUGCAACUGCAACUUUUCUGUCAUGUAGCAAUUAUUUCUGAUUUUUCAAUAUGAUGCAUCAAUUAAAAAAGGUGCGAUGACCAUUUUUAUUAUUAUCUAAAACAAAGAAUUCCUGCAUGAGUAGAUGACAUGGGAAAACUAAUAGAGUUCAUUAAUCUACAGCACCAUCUUUAUUUCUAGUUUUAACAAAUUUAAUCACCAAAAUAGCAUGCCCAAUUUCGAAAUAAUCAAACUACAUAUGGACACGCGCGCACGCACACGCACACAUAAUAUGCAUGUAUAUAUGUAUGUACCUAUAUGUUUAAUAUAUACAAUCAAAUUCCAUAUAAGCUUAAGAGAUCUAGGGGGAAUGCAUUUUGAUUAAGCAAUUGUAGAUACUUGUUCACAAGAUAGAGAACCUGAAAGACAUUGAACAAGGGGUAAUUGAAAGAAUGCUAUGCCCAAGCUUAAGAGAUCACAGAAUAAGUCAUACAUAAUAUGUGCACGUGCAUUAUAUGUAAGAGAUCUAGGAGGGGGGAAUGCAUUUUGAUUGAGCAAUUGUGGAUAUUAGUAUACAAGGUCGAGAUAACCUGAAAGACAUUGAACAAGAGGUAACUGAAAAUAUGUUAUCUGCAAGCUUGAUAAGAUCAGAAUUGCUAAUGCAGUGAGCAUGAACAAUUUAAUAAUCUUCACAUUAAUUUGUAUUACAUUGCAUGGGGGGGAGAUUCAUGCUCAAAUUUAAUAACAAGCAUCCAUCAAAUUUAGAAUCGAUACACAAAUUGAAAAAUUAUUUAAAAUGCAAUUAACUUCCAGCACAUUAUUUUGGAAUAAGAUCAUUGCCCAACAAAUCUCCCUACUAGUGCGCUCUCUAACUUUCUAGAUGAUAACUAGGGCUAUCACAAUAUUUGUUUUUUUUUAAAAAAAAUCUACUAGAUAAUUAAUUUUAGCUCAUGGCUCCGGGAAUUAUCCACCCAAGAAGGAAACAGGGUCAUUUGUCUCUAGAAUGCGCUGCUCUAAAGCACAUACAUGAAAUCAUGAAAUGAAUGCAGUGGAAUACAAAAAUACACUGGUACGGCAAAUUUUUAAAAGGUAGGAUUCAUAUACACAUAUAUGCAAUAACAUAUAUAAUAACUGGACAAAUGCAAUGCAUGUUUAAAAAAUUAAUACAAAAAAAAUUACAGAAUUGGAUGAUCAGAGAGAUAAAACAUGUAGAUUAGAAAAAGAUUAUUGUUAUUUUUGUUUGUUUUUUAAAUUGUAAAAAGAAUCCAAUGAGAUGGGGAUGUGGAUAAGAGAUGGAAGGAAUUUUUUUGUUUGAAUACAGUCCAAUUGACUUGGGAUGUCUAAGAGAAACUGUGCAAAUGAGAGAUAAAGGUGCCAAGAUAAAUCAAGGUACAAGUGGAUUAUAAUCCAACUUCUUAAUCAUUUUCUUUGCAGAUAUUUGUGAAGAAAGAAAUAGAAAUAUUAUGGUGAUAGGAUUUAACAAAUGGAAAAUAAAAUUGCAUAUUCUUCUCUCAUUUAAUAGUAUACCAUCCAUGCAAACAUAUGUAUGUACAUACAUGCAUGCAUGUGUGUGUGUGUGUGUGUGUGUGUGUCUAUAUAUGUAUAUAUCUAUCUAUAUAUCUAUAUAUGUAUGUAUGUAUAUGUAUGUAAAUGUAUGUAUGUAUGUAUAUGUAUGUAUGUAUGUAUAUGUAUGUAUGUAUAUAUAUACAUAUAUAUCUGUGUGCGCGCGCGCAUGCGUGUAGCGUCAACAUCCAAAAUUCUAUCAUUUAGUGAAAACUCGAAUUUGUAGAUUACACUGCACACAUUAUGUAAUAAUACUAACAUGAGAAAGUCAAAAAUUAACCAUACAUCAUUAAAAGGGGAACAUUCAUCAAAAAGAAAAGAAAAGAAAAGCGAAGAAAGCACAAAAAAACUACACCUCAUUCUUGGAGGCGUGGGUGAAGUAUUUUGGAUGUAUUCAAGGAGUAUCCAAAACCUUUAUUUAAUUUAAAGAAAUAAACUUAUAAGUGUUUGCCAUGUAUUCUAAAACUAUCUGACUAGUAUCAAUAUUCGAUAUGUAUCCAUGCAAACACGACAUAAAAUUUCAAGUAUCCAUGCUUCCUAGAUGCUCUUGUACUCACUACAACUAGCAUGAUAUGCAUGAGUUCUCUUCUCAUUCUUCUAAAAAGACUUUGCUAUUUUAGGAAUUCAGUACUCAAGAAGGUAUUGCUACCCUAAAUGAAGGGGGCAAGAAAAAGCACAAACAUGCCCUAUCAGCAUAGAUUUUUUAAGUUAUGCUUGCUGAGUUAUGAUUUUGGACACAACAAGAAAACCUCAAUUUGUGUUCAUAAGAAAAGAUGAAAGAAGUGAUUUGAAGAAGAAAACCUCAACAACAAAGAUCAAUAAAGACAUAUACUUUAGCAUACUAGGCGUACUACUAAUAAUCUGAAAGUUAUAUAAUACAGCUUGAUAUAACAAGCAUCAAAUAUAUCAUGAGAUAUACUAUAACAUGUAAGCACGAGAAAAAUGCUUAUUAGCUGAUAUAGCUUACGUGAUUAUUUAGGAUAUAUACUAAACAAAGAAAACCAUCAAUUAGAAUAAUAGAAAACAAAAUCUAAAAACGGUUAUAUAGUUAGCAAAGGGUGCAUUUGGUGCCUAAAGAGAUGCUGCACCUAAAAAAAAAUAGAAGCUGUAAGUGAAUCAAUUCAACAUAAGUAUUACUACAACUUCUUUUGCAUUACCAAUCCAAUGGAAAUACUGCAAAGCUAUGAGCAUCUAAAUUGUCUCUUUCUAAAACAUCUACCAGCAUCGAGUCAAAGCUGGUCAGGUCCAUAUACAUCAAAAUGUCUAAAAACAUAUUCUCUAGCACUGCAUGCAUACUCAUAGACAAAGAACUAACAAAAAGGACUUUUUUUAGUUUUCAGCUUAAAAUCUUCAUCUACAGACUUAAUCAGACGUAACAGCCUCCAAUCAACUUUCAAAGAUUAAAAAUAAAAAAGUGGGAAGAAACCAAACAAAGGGAUAACUUAAGGAUCCAACCUUUUCUCUUGAACUAGGACCCAGUGUUUCACUAUUUCUUGUUUAAAAGAAUUCAUUAGAAUCCCACAACAAAGAAUUUUGUGGUCAUUCCUUCAUGAAAAAGAUUUAGCAUUGUUCAACAAAUUUAUAAGACCCAGAGACCCUUUGAGUAACACUUGAAGACUUUUCAACUCAAUAUUUAACUAUCUAGGGCUUCCUUAUCCUAAUGCAUUGAAAAACUAUUGGCUUUUUUUUUCUUCCCAAUUGUUCCUCAACUCUUCAGAGAGUGAUACUCCAUGUCCUAACCGUAUCAACUUAACUUUUAAUUAUGGGGAUCUAUAACUGUUAAAAAAUAGUCUCCUAAUUUCUUAUAAUUCCAGAAACAUAUAUAAUCUAUAAGCUCAUUAAUCAAGCACGCAUUAGUACCAUGUUUUCAGUUUCCAGAUAAAUUUCCCAAUCCAUAUAUUUGUUUCCCUGUUGUAGAAGUGAGCAAAUAUCAUGGCACAUUAUUUAUCCUGCCAGUCUGCACGUUAAGCACCAUACUCAUCAAGCUGAUCAAUUAUUGCCCUAGACAGAUGGAUUUGGCUUCUUUGCUUUAUAUAACCAUGUCACAAGCACCUAAUCCCAAUCAGACACUCCUAUUCAUUACUAUACCAAUCUUUGAAAAAAAAAAAAACAAACAAAAGCUCGAUUUUCAUCACGACAAUCAUUGUACAAUAAACUACAAGGAACGUGUGAACUGUCCAUCAAGCAAAAGAACAACUAGACCUCUACGAGACUGGUUGCCCUGGAUUCUUGUUGAUGCCAAAAAAAACUCAUAAUCCAUCCAAAAUCUUAUAUGAAAGCAUCAAAGAACCGAACAGCUAUGAGAACCAAAUCAAAGAAAUCCAAGUAUCCUCCACCAAUCGAGCACAUAGCUCGCAGAUUAAACCACCAACAUCAAUAAGAAAUUUAAAACAGCGAUCAGAAGAAAAAAUCGGAGACCAUGGGAGGAAGGAAUAGCAGAAUACCGAGUUGAAAGACCAUUUCUCAUCGUCAUAGAUCUGGGCGUUCAAGUACUCCUUAAUCUUCUCCAUGAAGGAUAGUGACGCCACUGUCGAUUGCUCGCGAGGUUUUGGGUUUUGGUUUCGCGCUUCUCGUCUGCCCUUUUUGGCUACUCUUAACGUCUCGCGGAGCCGAAAAGAGUGUAUAAAGACUCAUCGAAAAGGGCUCUGUCGAUUACGCUAAUCACGAAAACGCCACCGCGCCACUCUCGAUUGCUCGCGAGGGUUUUGGGUUUUGGUUUCGCGCUCCUCGUCUGCCCUUUUUGGGUACUCUCAUCGUCUCGCG
This 4746-nucleotide long non-coding RNA is filed under the name Elaeis guineensis (African oil palm). RNAcentral's name for it is "long non-coding RNA (EGUI_LNC039150)". The record is from RNAcentral. Lineage: Eukaryota; Viridiplantae; Streptophyta; Magnoliopsida; Arecales; Arecaceae.